GUAGUCCACGCCCUAAACGAUGUCAACUAGUUGUUGGGGAUUCAUUUCUUCAGUAACGUAGCUAACGCGUGAAGUUGACCGCCUGGGGAGUACGGUCGCAAGAUUAAAACUCAAAGGAAUUGACGGGGACCCGCACAAGCGGUGGAUGAUGUGGAUUAAUUCGAUGCAACGCGAAAAACCUUACCUACCCUUGACAUGCCACUAACGAAGCAGAGAUGCAUUAGGUGCCCGAAAGGGAAAGUGGACACAGGUGCUGCAUGGCUGUCGUCAGCUCGUGUCGUGAGAUGUUGGGUUAAGUCCCGCAACGAGCGCAACCCUUGUCUCUAGUUGCUACGAAAGGGCACUCUAGAGAGACUGCCGGUGACAAACCGGAGGAAGGUGGGGAUGACGUCAAGUCCUCAUGGCCCUUAUGGGUAGGGCUUCACACGUCAUACAAUGGUGCGUACAGAGGGUUGCCAACCCGCGAGGGGGAGCUAAUCCCAGAAAACGCAUCGUAGUCCGGAUCGUAGUCUGCAACUCGACUACGUGAAGCUGGAAUCGCUAGUAAUCGCGGAUCAGCAUGCCGCGGUGAAUA
This 574-nucleotide ribosomal RNA is filed under the name uncultured Cupriavidus sp. RNAcentral describes it as "bacterial SSU rRNA". It matches the Rfam family "Bacterial small subunit ribosomal RNA", at positions 790 to 1368 of the family's 1533-position model. Lineage: Bacteria; Pseudomonadati; Pseudomonadota; Betaproteobacteria; Burkholderiales; Burkholderiaceae. The record is from RNAcentral.